GCCUACCAAGGCGACGACGGGUAGCCGGCCUGAGAGGGCGACCGGCCACACUGGGACUGAGAUACGGACCAGACUCCUACGGGAGGCAGCAGUGGGGAAUCUUAGACAAUGGGCGCAAGCCUGAUCUAGCCAUGCCGCGUGUGUGAUGAAGGCCUUAGGGUCGUAAAGCACUUUCGCCAGGGAUGAUAAUGACAGUACCUGGUAAAGAAACCCCGGCUAACUCCGUGCCAGCAGCCGCGGUAAUACGGAGG
RNAcentral lists this ribosomal RNA (251 nucleotides) under Goniomonas pacifica. Its description in RNAcentral is "partial Bacterial small subunit ribosomal RNA". It matches the Rfam family "Bacterial small subunit ribosomal RNA", at positions 263 to 531 of the family's 1533-position model. Lineage: Eukaryota; Cryptophyceae; Goniomonadida; Goniomonadaceae. The record is from RNAcentral.